UACCUACGGGAGGCAGCAGUGGGGAAUAUUGCACAAUGGGGGGAACCCUGAUGCAGCAACGCCGCGUGGGUGAAGAAGUACUCCGGUAUGUAAAGCCCUGUCAGCAGGGAAGAAAAUGACGGUACCUGACCAAGAAGCCCCGGCUAACUAUGUGCCAGCAGCCGCGGUAAUACGUAGGGGGCAGGCGUUAUCCGGAUUUACUGGGUGUAAAGGGAGCGUAGACGGAAAGGCAAGUCAGAAGUGAAAGCCCAAGGCUCAACCAUGGGACUGCUUUUGAAACUGUCAAACUAGAGUACGGGAGAGGG
RNAcentral lists this ribosomal RNA (305 nucleotides) under uncultured bacterium. RNAcentral describes it as "bacterial SSU rRNA". It matches the Rfam family "Bacterial small subunit ribosomal RNA", at positions 335 to 658 of the family's 1533-position model. The record is from RNAcentral.